This 71-nucleotide transfer RNA is filed under the name Ovis aries (sheep). It matches the Rfam family "tRNA". Rfam says of the family: Transfer RNA (tRNA) molecules are approximately 80 nucleotides in length. Their secondary structure includes four short double-helical elements and three loops (D, anti-codon, and T loops). Further hydrogen bonds mediate the characteristic L-shaped molecular structure. tRNAs have two regions of fundamental functional importance: the anti-codon, which is responsible for specific mRNA codon recognition, and the 3' end, to which the tRNAs corresponding amino acid is attached (by aminoacyl-tRNA synthetases). tRNAs cope with the degeneracy of the genetic code in two manners: having more than one tRNA (with a specific anti-codon) for a particular amino acid; and 'wobble' base-pairing, i.e. permitting non-standard base-pairing at the 3rd anti-codon position. Lineage: Eukaryota; Metazoa; Chordata; Mammalia; Artiodactyla; Bovidae. The record is from Rfam by way of RNAcentral.
UCCCUGAUGGCUCAGUGGUAAAGAAACUGCCUGCAAUGCAGGAGACACAGGUUCAGUCCCUGGUCGGGAAG